GGGNAGCACCACAACAGGUGGAGCCUGCGGUUUAAUUGGACUCAACGCCGGGAAGCUCACCGGAUAAGACAGCAGAAUGAUUGCCGGGCUGAAGACUCUGCAUGACUAGCUGAGAGGAGGUGCNUGGCCGUCGUCAGNUCANACUGUGAAGCAUCCUGUUAAGUCAGGCAACGAGCAAGACCCACGCCAACAGUUGCCAGCAUGGUCUCCGGACUGAUGGGGACACUGUUGGGACCGCCUCUGCUAAAGAGGAGGAAGGAAUGGGCAACGGUAGGUCAGCAUGCCCCGAAUUAUCCGGGCUACACGCGGGCUACAAUGGGCAGGACAAUGGGCAUCGACACCGAAAGGUGAAGGCAAUCUCCUAAACCUGUCCUUAGUUCGGAUUGUGGGCUGCAACUCGCCCACAUGAAGCUGGAAUCUGUAGUAAUCGCGUUUCAAAAUAACGCGGUGAAUUUGUCCCUGCUCCUUGCACACACCGCCCGUCAAACCACCCGAGUGGGGUUUGGAUGAGGUUGCGGUUGUUGCCGCAGUCGAAUCUAGGUUCCGCAAGGGGGGU
This 556-nucleotide ribosomal RNA is filed under the name unidentified archaeon. RNAcentral's name for it is "bacterial SSU rRNA". It matches the Rfam family "Archaeal small subunit ribosomal RNA", at positions 871 to 1428 of the family's 1478-position model. The record is from RNAcentral.